Molecule: long non-coding RNA, 2242 nt
Organism: Pipra filicauda (Wire-tailed manakin)
Lineage: Eukaryota; Metazoa; Chordata; Aves; Passeriformes; Pipridae
Exons: 2
Source: RefSeq, a predicted model, not a curated record
GUGCAGGCGUACAAUCAUGAGCAGCUUACGACACUCAGUGAACACUGGGUGCCUCUGCAUGCUCUAGCAACAUACUGCUCAGCUGAAGGGAAGGGAUUCUUGCUGUCUCUCUCUGCUCUAAGCAUCACCUAACAAGCAAAGCGAACAAAGAAUGGGAAAUAAAGCGACCCUUAACCGGUCAGUGAAUGAAUGGUAACCUCUCUCUGGAGUAAAGGUUGUGCCGGUCAAUGGUCGUUGCAAAUGACGGACAUUAAACAGAUUGACAAAUCCUGUGGAGUCGUUAGUAAAGAGUUUGGAGUUUUUUUCACGCCACAGUGUUAACUGCAGAGGAAAGGACAGAGGGAGAAGGAGAAGAUCAAGCUCAUGUACAUAGUUCUGAAACUUGCAGGUCCUAGGAGGCAGCUCAAAAGCUAGCUGGACAAGCCUUUCGCUCGUUGAGCAGAAGCGAAGUGAGACAUUGUGAGCUUGCCAGCCUUGCACAACAUUGAAAGGGACUGAAUUUGUAGCACAGAGGGGUCUUUUUUAGCUCUGCAUAUAAUUAGUCCAAACACAAAGGAAGCAACUGAAUGGAGGUUGUCACUCUCUGGAAAAGGGUGCAGUGAUUUCCUAAGUGGGAGCUGAUUUCGGUGUUGCCUGUUGCCAUUUCUCCUGAAGAGAGGUGAUGACCAGCAAUGACUUGCCACCCUGAGCAGGAUGAUGGAUGGAUGGAUGGAUCCUCCACGUGGAGCACAGCCCUUAUUAAAGGAUGUGUUUCAAAAUCUUCAUGCAGAAAUCUUUUCUGAGGGUAAUCUCUUCUAGAGACAACCUCCUAGUGGUCCCCAGAGGACAUCUGGAGAUCCUGACUCUCUGAAUAUUCACUGGUGAAAAGAAGGGUAUCACUGCUGUUACCUGGCAGUACCACAGGGUACCCACAUCUAGUCUGAAAGUUUACAUGAAAUAUAUGUGGGUAAUAAAGAAAUAAAAGAGCCACUAUGUCAUUUCAAUCUAGCUAUUGCAAAUCCAGUUAUUCAUCCUGCUCCAGGCUAUUUCCAUUGGUAUAUAUGGGAGUUAUCAUAUUUGUACUGCAUUUAUGGCAACUGCAGGGACAAAUUUUCCCUAACUCUUUCUUCCAAAUUUUGUGUUCAACAGCUGUCCAGAGAUAAGUCAUUCCCUCUCUUUGAUGCCCUUAUUCUGGCAAUAUUAAAUGGCUCCAAAUCAAAAGGAAAAAAAAAAAAAAAAAAGAUUCUUUUGGGGUUAGUUGUGACAGUUUUGUCCAAGAGAUGCUUGGGGAAUAUCAAAGGAAGGAAAAUAUUUUCAAUAUUCCCUUUCUAAUGCUCUACUUAAUAGGACUAAUCUCCCUUUUAUAAUGAGGUAAUUAGCAUUAUUUUCUUUAUAUUUAACUGUCUUUUUAAACACAAGACAGGGUGAAAGGCAAACAAAAGAACUACCUUUUUUGAGGCUGGUUAACAGUACCAGUGUUAUAGAUCUCUAACAUGCAAUCUCUUGCUGCUCACAUCAAUACCCACUCACAGUGCACCCAGUGCUGAAGGAACUGUUGCUGUGUAUGCUCUGAAUGUAUAUAAGGGAUGAUUUAUUUUCCUUUCUGUCUUUUUCUUUCCUUCCUUUCUGUACUACUUAAAAAAAAAAAUAAUUACAUGAAACCACAGAAUCAAUGCUGAUGUACCACAUUCUGUUUCUGCCCUGAAAAUAUAAAAUACAAAGAUAUUCUGUGUUAAAGCUGCAAAUUCCCUCCUUUGCCAUGCUGUCUGGGUACUGCAAGGGGUCAGACCAAGGGAUGCCCCCUCCCUCUGUGGUCACAGCAAUAGCUGAAGAUGCAGCCCCUAGUUCAGAGCUGCCUUGCAAACCUGUGCCAGAGAAAGACCAUUAACCAUACCUGAGGAUAUUUUUGUAUGCUUUAAUAUAUUCUGUAUAUGUUUUUAUGGCUAAGGCAUCGAGGGGUAGUUGAAAUGAGUCUGUUUGAUCAUUUUCUUUGGUUCUGAUAAAAAAAAAAACAACAACAAUUCAUUUGCUAUUCAGAUGAACUAAAUUUGUUCCUUGUGUGUGUCUCAUUCUGCAUUAAAAGCAAAAGGACUCCCUGAAUCCCUCUCCCUUCCCCCCCCCAGCUUCUCCAAUGGUAUUCAGAGUGGCAACUAAGGAGUAUUUAAUGAGGAAGCUUAUUUCUAAUGCUAUAACAGUAAUAGCAGUAAUAAUAACGAAAUUAAAAGGAGACAAAAGAUAAAAGACUGGAGUAACAACAACUAAA